AUUCCCGUUGAUCCUGCGGGAGAUGGCUGCUAUGAGUAUUCGAUUAAGCCAUGCAAGUCUACUCGCAAGAGUGGCAGACCGCUCAGUAACACGUCGGUAACCUGCCCUCUGGUCAAGGAUAACCUCGGGAAACUGAGGGUAAACCUUGAUAGGUGGUACAGCCUGGAAUGGCGUACCAUUCAAACUCGUGCCAGAGGAUGGGCCGGCGGCUGAUUAGGCUGUUGGUGGGGUAAUGGCCCACCAAACCUGAGAUCAGUACGGGCCUUGAGAGAGGUAGCCCGGAGAGGGACACUGAGAUACUGGUCCCAGCCCUACGGGGUGCAGCAGGCGCGAAACCUUUACAAUGCACGCAAGUGUGAUAAGGGGAUACUCAGUGCUUACGCUUAUGGCGUAGGCUUUUGGUGACUGUAGAACGUUCACCGAAUAAGUGGUGGGUAAGACCGGUGCCAGCCGCCGCGGUAACACCGGCGCCACGAGUGGUCGUCGCGAUUAUUGGGCCUAAAGCGUUCGUAGCAGGUUUGGUAAAUCUUUUGUGAAAUUGUCUCGCUCAACGAGACAGCGGGCAGAAGACACUGCUAGACUCGAGACCGGGAGGGGUUAGAGGUAUUCCAUGGGGACCGGUAAAAUGGGAUAAUCCAUGGAAGACCACCGAUGGCGAAGGCAUCUAACCAGAACGGAUCUGACUGUGAGGAACGAAAGCCAGGGGAGCGAACCGGAUUAGAUACCCGAGUAGUCCUGGCCGUAAACGCUGCGAGCUAGGCGUUGCACUACCCUUGUGGUUGUGCAGUGUCGAAGCGAAGGCGAUAAGCUCGCCGCCUGGGAAGUACGGUCGCAAGGCUGAAACUUAAAGGAAUUGGCGGGGGAGCACUACAAGGGGUGCGGCGUGCGGUUUAAUCUAAUUCAACACAGAGAAUCUCACCAGAAGCGACGGCAGGAUGAAAGUCAGUCUAAAGGGCUUACUUGACGAGCCGAGAGGUAGUGCAUGGCCGUCGUCAGCUCGUGCCGCAAGGUGUCCUGUUAAGUCAGGCAACGAGCGAGACCUGCACUCACAAUUGCCAGCGAGCUCUGCGAUCGGGCACAUUGUGAGAACUGCCCUUGAAAAGGGGAGGAAGGUGCAGGCUACGGUAGGUCUGUAUGCUCCGAAUCUUCUGGGCUACACGCGCGCAACAAUGGUAAGGACAAUGGGAUGCAACUCCGAAAGGAGAAGCCAAUCCGUGAAACCUUAUCUUAGUUCAGAUCGAGGAUUGUAACUCAUCCUCGUGACGCUGGAAUCCCUAGUAAUCAGGUGUUAUCAGCGCCUGGUGAACAUGUCCCUGCUCCUUGCACAC
RNAcentral lists this ribosomal RNA (1328 nucleotides) under Candidatus Woesearchaeota archaeon. RNAcentral's name for it is "bacterial SSU rRNA". It matches the Rfam family "Archaeal small subunit ribosomal RNA". The record is from RNAcentral. Lineage: Archaea; Nanobdellati; Candidatus Woesearchaeota.